ACCACUAAUAUUUUCUUUUCCCUACCACUAACUUAUUUUUAUCUAAUAGACAUGAGUGGAAGUGUGAUGAGUGAAGAUAGGAUUAGUGUGCUAAGGUGGUAGGGAACCAAGCUUUAAUCAUGAAUAAUGCUUUGUCCUUAAUCAUUCUUCCAUUGCAAGACAAAGCUCAUCACUUCACUCCCUCACACUUCAACUCUCGGUCACCUCCAAAAAUCCCUCUCUUCCAAUUUUGCUCCAAAAGAUCGCCAUAGAUUAAUCACCAAAGCUUCCAAGUUCACUUCAAGAUCAAAUCCUCCACCAAAUCAACAUAAACACCUUUCAAUUCUUGAAGAUUUCAAGAGGACCGUGGGGUUUGGUUUGAAGAGUGAGAAAGGAAAACUUUGAUCUUUGUUUAAUCUUGGGUUGAGCAGCUGAUGGAAUGGAAUGGCGUUGAGCGGGUGUUCCUUUUACAUUUCAAGAAAUGUAACCUUGAGUAUACAUCUUCAUAUGUAUAUCUCACACGUUUUCCGCUGCAAAACACUUUGAUUAAGAUAGCUCUAUGUUAUGAAGUUGUGACACGUGUUAUUGGGUAACCCACCUUAAUCAGUUCUCCUUUAUGUGUAUGUUUUAUAAGUAUCCAAAUAAUCAUAUAUGAUCAUAGCAUUUUAUUUAUGAGUGACAUUUUCAUAUACUUUAAUGUUAAGUAAUUGUCCAUUUCCA
Long non-coding RNA from Salvia miltiorrhiza (redroot sage), 699 nucleotides. RefSeq lists it as uncharacterized. Lineage: Eukaryota; Viridiplantae; Streptophyta; Magnoliopsida; Lamiales; Lamiaceae. The transcript has 2 exons. The record is from RefSeq and is a predicted model, not a curated record.